Molecule: ribosomal RNA, 253 nt
Filed under: uncultured prokaryote
Description: partial 16S ribosomal RNA
Rfam family: Bacterial small subunit ribosomal RNA
Source: RNAcentral
UACGAAGGGGGCUAGCGUUGCUCGGAAUUACUGGGCGUAAAGCGCACGUAGGCGGAUUGUUAAGUCGGGGGUGAAAUCCUGGAGCUCAACUCCAGAACUGCCUUCGAUACUGGCGAUCUUGAGUCCGGAAGAGGUGAGUGGAACUCCUAGUGUAGAGGUGAAAUGCGUAGAUAUGCGGAGGAACACCGAUGGCGAAGGCAAUCCCCUGGACCUGUACUGACGCUCAUGCACGAAAGCGUGGGGAGCAAACAGG